Non-coding RNA from Podarcis lilfordi (Lilford's wall lizard), 200 nucleotides. The record is from the annotation of a GenBank genome assembly. Lineage: Eukaryota; Metazoa; Chordata; Lepidosauria; Squamata; Lacertidae.
GGACCCAUAGCUCAGUGCUGGAGCAUCUGCUUUGCAUGUAGAAUGUCCCAGCUAUGAAAGAAGCAGCUUCCUGUGGAACCCAGCUCUUUACUAAGAAUGAUGAGGACUAGAAUCUUGCUUUGUUUUUACGGGAAAGGCCAUAGCUCAGCGGUCAAGCAACUGCAUGCAUAAGGUCCCAGGUUCAAUCACUGGCAUCUCCA